This 492-nucleotide ribosomal RNA is filed under the name uncultured bacterium. Its description in RNAcentral is "partial 16S ribosomal RNA". It matches the Rfam family "Bacterial small subunit ribosomal RNA", at positions 29 to 507 of the family's 1533-position model. The record is from RNAcentral.
AGUGAACGCUGGCGGUAGGCCUAACACAUGCAAGUCGAACGGCAGCACAGUAAGAGCUUGCUCUUACGGGUGGCGAGUGGCGGACGGGUGAGGAAUACAUCGGAAUCUGCUUUUUCGUGGGGGAUAACGUAGGGAAACUUACGCUAAUACCGCAUACGACCUACGGGUGAAAGCAGGGGAUCUUCGGACCUUGCGCGAUUGAAUGAGCCGAUGUCGGAUUAGCUAGUUGGCGGGGUAAAGGCCCACCAAGGCGACGAUCCGUAGCUGGUCUGAGAGGAUGAUCAGCCACACUGGAACUGAGACACGGUCCAGACUCCUACGGGAGGCAGCAGUGGGGAAUAUUGGACAAUGGGCGCAAGCCUGAUCCAGCCAUACCGCGUGGGUGAAGAAGGCCUUCGGGUUGUAAAGCCCUUUUGUUGGGAAAGAAAAGCAGCAGGUUAAUACCCCGCUGUUCUGACGUUACCCAAAGAAUAAGCACCGGCUAACUUCGUG